GUGUUUACUUCGGCAGCACAUAUACUAAAAGUGGACUGAUACAGAGAUCAUCAUGGCCCCUCCACAGGGAUGACAUGCAAAUUCGUGAAGCGUUCCAUACUUUC
Hyaena hyaena (striped hyena) is the source of this 104-nucleotide small nuclear RNA. Lineage: Eukaryota; Metazoa; Chordata; Mammalia; Carnivora; Hyaenidae. The record is from RefSeq and is a predicted model, not a curated record.